RNA transcript from Gossypium arboreum, 2784 nucleotides. RefSeq lists it as uncharacterized. The transcript is spliced from 3 exons. Lineage: Eukaryota; Viridiplantae; Streptophyta; Magnoliopsida; Malvales; Malvaceae. The record is from RefSeq and is a predicted model, not a curated record.
CUUUGCUUUUAAGAGAUUUUUAAAAAAAAGUUCAUCCAAUACACUAAGUCUUCAAUAACAACCCAAAGCCAACAAACAUUUGUCCUCGGCAGGUAAGAAACCCUAAAUCUAUGCCCCCAAAUGAAAUCAAAGAAACACUGAACAACUUUGAACGGGGAGACACUCGGAUACUAAAACCUUCUUUUUUUUGGGAAGCCAUGAAAAGGGUUUUGUUUAGAGGCAUUUCACUCACCACUCACAAUUUUCUUCACUCUUGUACCAAAACCAGCCAAAACCCAGUUCACUCGUUCACCCCACUCGCCGCUUCGACUCGGUCUCGACUCAGGCUGCACUCAUCCGAAUCGGAUUCUCCCGUUGAAAAGAAGCCUGACCCUGUUACAGAAUCUGCUUCAGUAGCGGAAGGCCAUGUCGAGGAUGUUGCUUUGCCUGUUGUGCAUAUGAAUGAUAAAGUUGUUUGGUGCCAGAGCUGGAAGCCCGAAUCAAGAAGUACUCAGAAGGGAAUCUAGAGGCAAUCCUUCCAGUUCUUCACGCCAUUUUGCAGAGAAUGUUAGCUGGGAAGCAUGACGAGGCAGAUGAAUUGCGGAGAAAGCUGAAAACCCAUGGUUUUUGCAGAAAAUAAGUCUCAUUUAGAACCUCGGGUAAGAUUUUUUAGUUCGAGCUCGAUACGAAUUUUCAAUGUUUUUAUAUAAAGAAUGAGUUCCUGGUAAAAGGUUUGCAUUUCUUGUUAUUAGUAAAAUUCAAUUUUCAUUUAUUUAAUCUCCAAUUUCAUUUGUGAUUCGUUUUGAUUUUGUUGAUUUAAAUUUAUUAAAUAUUAUUUUCUUCAUUUAUGUUAUUCAUCUUUUAAUGGAAAAUUUUCAAUUUUGAUUUAUUUAAUAUCCAAUUGCAGUUUAGAAUGUCAUUUGUUUUGGUUUGGUUAUUUUAGAUUUGUCAAAUGUUUUGUAUAUAUUGGGGUACUAUUACAAGUUUAGAAAUUAAGUGAGUUGAUAUAAUAAUUAGGACUCAAACCUACUAACAUAAUUUUUCAAGUUCGGACCUAACAAUCGGGUCUUUGAUACAUCGACAAUUCUACUUUGAAUUAAGAAAGCCAAUAAUUAAAAAUUUCAAGAAUUCAAUCUUUAUAUAGAUUCGAAUUUUAAAAUUGGAUACACAAAUAAGAAAUUAAAUCAAAAGAAGGAAGUAUAUGAUAUGAUAUGACACAAAAUUUCUGUUUUUUAAACAAUAAAUCGGUGAACUUGUGGUCUUUUUUACAAUCUCAAUCUAGUAGUGUCGAAGAAACAAAGCUUAUUAUGAGAUAGAACCAGCGUUGCCGGAAAAUGGCUUUCGUCGAUGCCCGAUGAUCUCUAUCAACCCUUUUAAGCCGUGCCCUCACUUCUUCUUCUUCUUCCUUUCCUUCUCGUUCUCGCCUUACAGUUGCUCUCCUCAACAAAACCCCAGUUUUAUCCCCGAAGCAACCAAAAUCCUGACCCGAACCAAGACAUCCGGGUUCGGCUACUCGCCUUUAUAUUUGAAAGCCUUAUGAAGUCUACCUUGAUUUAUAUUCGAAAUGUUACUGAAUUAAUAUUUAUCCACUAUACAGAUAGGAAGGAAGCCUUAUGAAGUUAUGGUGGUAGACAGGUAGUUCGUAUACAAGCAAACUGGGAAGCCUGUCCAUACUCUCGAAGAAACUGGUGGUGCUAAAUGGUUUUUUGUCCUCAGUACAUCGAAGAUCUUGUAUUGGUGUGAAGAAAAAGGGUACAUUUCAAAAUUCGAGUUUCUUGGCAGGUGGUGCUACCAUUGCUGCUGGAAGAUUAGUUGUUGACAAUGGCGUCCUUAAGGCAGUUUGGCCACACAGUGGACAUUACCGUUCGUUAGAAGAAAACUUUAACGAAAGCUUUAACAACUUCAUUUCAUUUCUAAGGGAGAACAAUGUAGAUCUUAACAAUGUCAAGGUUAAAAAAGAUGACUCUGGUGGAUGAGGAAGGAAACUUGGCUGGCAAGCAAAGAAGCAGUAACCAUCUUAGAUGUAACUCGUCUGAAGAUGACUUUAACUUUGAGGCUGAGGAGAUCAAUGUCAAAGACUAGAUCGAUCAAAUACUAUAGUUGAUUCAUGGGGAACAUGAAGCCGAGUCAAGGAGGUUCCACAGCCUUAGCUGAAAACAAUGUAGCUUUUGUGCCUAGUUGUAAUAAAGAUAAUUCGAUGGAUUCCUCUUUGGUGGAUGGUUAUGCAAUAGAGGAGAAACCGUUAGUUCAGAACUGGAUUGGUAUGAAAAUCAUGCAGAUAAUGAGGUGGAAGACCCUUCCUGAUGAAUUGAUUCUUCAAAGGGUUAACUCUAAAAGAGGAUCCACAUGCAAGUGGACUACAGGAGCAGCCUAACAGAUCCCAGAUUGGUUGUACGAAGAAAAACCCUCGAAACUCCAAUUCUGUGCUUGGGAGUAACUGAAGAAUUGAGAACCUUGAAUUCAUCUGUGCUCAAGACGAACAUUUUGUGAAAGAGAAGCAUCCAUUCCUAGAGUGCAGUAUUAUAAAGGAACACUUGCAGCACAAGUACAUUCUCUGUUAGUUCAUUCUUUGGGGUGAAUAGAAAAGAUGAUAUAGGACUUGCUGUAUCAUUCUUUUAAAAAACCAGAUCUCUGUACACAUAUUUAAAAAAAAUCAUCUUGUACCAUACUCUUCUAAAAAAUUUGCUUAACUAUUUGAAUACAAUUGGUCAGGCAUUGAAAUGCAACAUUAUGGUACAUGUAAAAGGAAUUCAUAAAGAGAACUUUGGGUUGCUUUUUGACAUGCUAUAUAAAUUAUGUACAGUG